UACGGGGGGUGCGAGCGUUGUCCGGAUUCACUGGGCGUAAAGGGCGCGUAGGCGGCCUGGUCAGUCGGACCUUUAAGAGCGGGGCUCACCCCCGUGGUGGGUUCGGGACGGCCGGGCUGGGGCGCGGCAGAGGGGGACGGAAUGCCGGGUGUAGUGGUGAAAUGCGUAGAGAUCCGGCGGAACACCGGUGGUGAAGACGGUCCCCUGGGCCGAGGCCGACGCUGAGGCGCGAAAGCGUGGGGAGCGAACGGG
RNAcentral lists this ribosomal RNA (252 nucleotides) under uncultured bacterium. Its description in RNAcentral is "partial 16S ribosomal RNA". It matches the Rfam family "Bacterial small subunit ribosomal RNA", at positions 524 to 776 of the family's 1533-position model. The record is from RNAcentral.